AAGAAAGUAAUUUCAGACGCGGAGACAGCGAAGACGAAGGUGGAACGCCGCCGAUAAACAAAUGGAUUGAGGUUUUUCGGACAAAGGUGCGAGAACUAUUUUGACUCUCGUGUCUUUUAUUUUUUAUUUUUUUAACGCGCUCGAUUUAUUUAUUUCCAUUUCUCUUUCGCUUACUAUAUAUGAUUGAAGAUAUGAAAAGUUUAAUUACCAUUCAGAUAUUCUAUUUACUUAUAUAAUCUCAUUACGAAAUUCUCAUAUAGUUUAAGGACAUUAAUAAAAGGCGAAAUUAAUAAAACAUAUUGUGCGUCUCGUGUUUUUACAAAAAGAAAAGAAAAAAGAAUGUCGUAGGGGACCAGGUAGGCGUUACUUUCGGGACUCAAAAACGUGCAACAAUACAGAAAAGAACCGAUGAGGGUAUUUUGGGUAAUUUUCCUAAUUGAAAUGAACAAAUACGCGGUCGUCACGGGUAUUUCAAGCUGGCUUCUAUUUCUAUCUAUGGUAUGAUGGUACUAUAUGAACUCUUUACGUGUGUACGCACGCACAUUGGUCAAAAAAAUGUAAUUUACUUCUUUCAUAUUUAAGGAAGGGUGUAACUGCUAACAAAGACUAAUUCUCAUUUUUCUUUGUCAAAAACACAGAACACACACGUAAU
RNAcentral lists this long non-coding RNA (652 nucleotides) under Brassica rapa (field mustard). RNAcentral's name for it is "long non-coding RNA (BRAP_LNC007928)". The record is from RNAcentral. Lineage: Eukaryota; Viridiplantae; Streptophyta; Magnoliopsida; Brassicales; Brassicaceae.